Molecule: ribosomal RNA, 423 nt
Filed under: uncultured bacterium
Lineage: Bacteria
Description: bacterial SSU rRNA
Rfam family: Bacterial small subunit ribosomal RNA
Source: RNAcentral
AAGACCUUGCGCUUUUGGAGCGGCCGAUGCCUGAUUAGCUUGUUGGUAAGGUAAAAGCUUACCAAGGCUUCGGUCAGUAGCUGGUCUGAGAGGACGGCCAGCCACACUGGGACUGAGACACGGCCCAGACUCCUACGGGAGGCAGCAGUGGGGAAUUUUGGACAAUGGGGGCAACCCUGAUCCAGCCAUGCCGCGUGAGUGAAGAAGGCCUUCGGGUUGUAAAGCUCUUUCAGCCGGAACGAAACGGUUACGGCUAAUACCCGUGAUUACUGACGGUACCGGAAGAAGAAGCACCGGCUAACUACGUGCCAGCAGCCGCGGUAAUACGUAGGGUGCGAGCGUUAAUCGGAAUUACUGGGCGUAAAGCGUGCGCAGGUGGUUUUGUAAGUCAGAUGUGAAAGCCCCGGGCUCAACCUGGGAACU